GAGUAAAUGAUUCCAUGGUUAAAUGCAAUAACAAUUCUUCUGUCCAUAGCUCUUUUCCUCGUACUGCUGAUAAUAAGCAUGUCAACGGCCAUAGUCGGUAUGGCACCAGACGAUAUAUGGUACGUGGCAAAGCCUGACCAUAAACCAACACAAUGACC
Penaeus monodon (black tiger shrimp) is the source of this 158-nucleotide long non-coding RNA. RefSeq lists it as uncharacterized. The transcript is spliced from 2 exons. Lineage: Eukaryota; Metazoa; Arthropoda; Malacostraca; Decapoda; Penaeidae. The record is from RefSeq and is a predicted model, not a curated record.